RNAcentral lists this ribosomal RNA (467 nucleotides) under Enterobacter hormaechei. RNAcentral describes it as "partial 23S ribosomal RNA". It matches the Rfam family "Bacterial large subunit ribosomal RNA", at positions 1 to 508 of the family's 2925-position model. Lineage: Bacteria; Pseudomonadati; Pseudomonadota; Gammaproteobacteria; Enterobacterales; Enterobacteriaceae. The record is from RNAcentral.
GGUUAAGCGACUAAGCGUACACGGUGGAUGCCCUGGCAGUCAGAGGCGAUGAAGGACGUGCUAAUCUGCGAAAAGCGCCGGCGAGGUGAUAUGAACCCUUGACCCGGCGAUGUCCGAAUGGGGAAACCCAGUGUGUUCCGACACACUAUCGUUAACUGAAUACAUAGGUUAACGAGGCGAACCGGGGGAACUGAAACAUCUAAGUACCCCGAGGAAAAGAAAUCAACCGAGAUUCCCCCAGUAGCGGCGAGCGAACGGGGAGCAGCCCGGAGUCUGAAUCAGCUUGUGUGUUAGUGGAACGGUCUGGAAAGUCCGACGGUACAGGGUGAUAGUCCCGUACACGAAAACACACUUGCUGUGAACUCGAAGAGUAGGGCGGGACACGUGGUAUCCUGUCUGAAUAUGGGGGGACCAUCCUCCAAGGCUAAAUACUCCUGACUGACCGAUAGUGAACCAGUACCGUGAGG